This 3109-nucleotide long non-coding RNA is filed under the name Sus scrofa (pig). RNAcentral describes it as "lncRNA (ENSSSCG00015046251.1)". Lineage: Eukaryota; Metazoa; Chordata; Mammalia; Artiodactyla; Suidae. The record is from RNAcentral.
UGGCUGCACUCAAGGCAUGUGGAAGUUCCUGGGCCAGAAAUCCAACACAUGCCACAGCAGCGACAAUGUCAGACCCUUAACCCCAUGAGCCACAAGGGGAGUCUUGCUUUUCUUAUAGUCAUUGCCCUCUUUCCUGGGUCUGGUUCAUAAAGAGCUAUGCGUAAAUCAAGACCUCCUGUGUUUUAGGAAUACAUCCUGCCUGGCAGUUGUGUUCUUCAGCACACAUUUUUGGUAAUUUUCUUUAUCCCUAAAGAUAUCGAAGCUGUAAACAUUAUUUUUUUAAAAGACAGAAGUAGCAAACCGUACUACCUCUUCAAGUAUAGGUGUUAUUAGAGGAAAUAUAAAAGACAAGAAAAAGCACUGGGGAUGUGGGGCAAGAUGGUGUUCAGUCAAAUUCUCAUUUAAACCUGAAAAUAUUUCAGCUUGAGAAGUGGUUGGACCCUCCCUCGUCUUCCCAGGAUUGGUCUAACUUCUUUUGUUGAGGAUGACUGGCUAUUGCACAUAGAAUCAUUCACAUGGACAACUGAUGGAGUCAGAAGUCCUGCAUCCACAGCAUAAUGCCCAUCCGGAGGGCCUGGACAAGGUCAGUUAGUGUACAGCCUGCCGUCCUAGCCUUUAAGAAGGACCUUUAAGGUCCAUCAUUAGAUCUUUCGUGUUUUUAAUCAUUAUACCUGCUAUCAUGUAUGGAGGUUUCAGUCAUUUGCUAGACACUGAACUAGGUACUGGAUAUUAGAAUUGUAUACAUCUUGAAUAGUUGAAAAAUGUGAGAAAAGGAUAUGCGCUCAGCUUCACAAAAUAUCUAUAAGAAUAUAGAUAUCCAUUGCCUCCUUCCAAAGAGCAUGUGACCAUCCCAGAAGCCGGGCAUCGUCACUGCUGUUUUCCCCACUUUACAAGUGAGGACACUGAAACAGAAGCUCAGAGACGUCACCCUGGCUGUCUGUCAGGGCACUAACGCUCAGGAGCAUAGAUUUGUCGCAGGUCCUGCCUCCCUGAUGACAUAGUCUAUACUCUUUCCAUACGUCUCCUCUGUGUAUUUAGAAGAGCUCCUAUUAAUUUAGCUUCCUAAACAUGUAGGCAUCAGAUAAGACACAUUAUUUGAAAACUCAAAUUUGCAAACUGCUGUCAGCUUCAACCAAUGAUGACUCUAACCUUCAAAGCCACAGAGAAAAAGCUCUUUAGCUUAAGAAACCCCUCAAAGAAAAUAUUUGGACACAGAUUUGAACACACGAGCUCUAUAAUAAUAAACAAAUUAAGGAAUUCUCUGUGCAAAAAAUAGCCUGUUUUCUCUGCUUUUCAGAACUUCCUUCCUUAAUUGCCUGAUGUAGUCCACCACGGUUAGAAUCCCAUUUCGAUUAGCUGCUCCACUGAAAACCAAGACAACCACUAAACUAGAUUAUAUGUUAAUAACUACGUAAAUAUUCCCUCAGAAAAAAUAAUAAAAUUCCCAUGAAGACUUAAGAUCGAAUUUUCAUAAAAACAAAUGUGGAGGAAACAAAAAUCAUUUAACUUCAACGUGGUGAAGCCAUAUUUUCUGUCAUUUAAAUAUCUGAUCAGGGACUCAUAAAGGUAUUAAUCAUCUUAACAAUACAAUAAAAACCACAGAAUAAACACGGCAACAUCCUGUAAAAAAAGGAUGAUGAUGAAAAGCUUUGAAAUAUGGAAUUCAUGGGAUUAUAAAUAAAGAAAUGGUAACAUCUGGGAGAGAGGGUGACAUUUAAGGUUCAAGAACUACACUUCACCAUAUGAAUUAAGUAGUUCUGAGUUCCUUAUUUGGGUCAUUAGAAGUCAGGUUACCAUGACGGAUACAAAGAGAUUUAGACUUUGGAGUCCGAAAGACCUGGAUUCAAAGCCUAGCACCACCACUAACUAUAUGUAAGAUUUUAAACCGUCAGUAUGUCUUUACUUCAUCAUGUGUGAAGUACCUCCUCAAUACCUAAGAAUCGUGUGCACUGCCCUAGGAAACCCACUGACUUAAUUUCUUGGAAAAGCAAUUACAUCAGAUUGAUUAAAAGCAGGCAAAGCAGGAGAUUCCCUUAUGGUGCAGUGGGUUAAAGAGCCAGUGUUUCUGCAUUUGCAGCACAGGUUUGACCCCUGACCUGGGAACUUCCACGUGGCACACGUGCAGCCAAAAUAAAAAGUAGGCAGAGCAUAUGGUAUCACUCCGUGACUGUCAUAUCAAUAACUAAGCAGAAGCCAUUGGCUCUGAAGAUGUAAAUAAUGUAAAUGAUACAAAAUACUUUCUUGGUUUCACUGAGUAGUAGUUUAUAGAUCAUUUCUGGGUUUUGUUGUUGUUUUAAUCAAACCCAUCCCCUGUACAACAUCUCACUGAAGCAGAUCCCACUCUAACCUGGAAUUUGGCAUGACCUAGGUCUUGGAAAUUACCCAAUGUAAUCAUAUUGUUAAAAUUCCAGAAAGAAUUUAUUAUAAGGGUUGAAUUUUUUGUUUGUUUUACCUAUUAAAUAGCCCUACUGCAGAGAUAGCUGCCAGAGAUCUUAUAGGCUUAUUGCUAAAAACAGAAUUGAUUCCCAAGACAUACAGCCACACCACAAAGAAAAUAACCAUCAGAAACAAUGGGCAACUGAGCUAAGAACAUUUAGACAAGCUAGGGAAAAGGAUUCCUAUAAAUUUAACAAAAUAUCUUCCUGCUUCUAGUAGAUCUAUUGGAGAGAAAGAGUGUUCCCUGCAGUAUGCCAAAAAAUAGUGGCUAUAAACAAAGAGAUAGGGCAGAAUGAAAUUGGACUCCAUGGAAAUUCAUUUAAUGAUGCUUCAAGUUAUUUUCAGAAAAUUGGCAAAUGUGUGCGUUCAAUCAGUCCUUAACGGGACCCGAUCGAAUAAGGAAAUAUCAGUUUGUUGACUUUCGUUAGUACCUCACAGGAAAGCUUUUUAAGAGAACAUAUUACUUCCAACUCUUUGCCUUGCUGACAGACUUUCCUUCUGUCUUUUUCCUACCCUAACACGAUCAAUUAGCACAUGUUGAGCCAGAGUCCCCUUGGGCCUGUGCUACUCCCUGAAAAGAAAGGGGCAGCCAGGUGGUCCAGGUGGUUCCAGGCUGGUGAUGGUCACAGGAACCAGACGGCCUGUGGUUCCUGUGCCUGCCUUAACAACUCGC